GACGAACGCUGGCGGCGUGCCUAAUACAUGCAAGUUGAGCGCUGAAGGUUGGUACUUGUACCGACUGGAUGAGCAGCGAACGGGUGAGUAACGCGUGGGGAAUCUGCCUUUGAGCGGGGGACAACAUCUGGAAACGAAUGCUAAUACCGCAUAAAAACUUUAAACACAAGUUUUAAGUUUGAAAGAUGCAAUUGCAUCACUCAAAGAUGAUCCCGCGUUGUAUUAGCUAGUUGGUGAGGUAAAGGCUCACCAAGGCGAUGAUACAUAGCCGACCUGAGAGGGGGGACCGGCAAAAUGGGACUGGGAAACGGGCCAAGAUUCUUACGGAAGCAGCAGGAGGGGAACUUUGGGAAUGGAAGGAAGGCUGAACGGGCAAAGCCGGGUGGAGGAAGGAGGGUUUCGGAUCGUAAAACUCUGUUGGUAGAGAAGAAAGAUGGUGGGAGUGGAAAGCUCAUAAAGUGACGGUAACUACUCAGAAAGCGACGGCUAACUACGUG
This 497-nucleotide ribosomal RNA is filed under the name uncultured bacterium. RNAcentral describes it as "partial 16S ribosomal RNA". It matches the Rfam family "Bacterial small subunit ribosomal RNA", at positions 28 to 507 of the family's 1533-position model. The record is from RNAcentral.